CGGCGAGUGAAGCGGCAAAAGCUCAAAUUUGAAAUCUGGCGUCUUUGGCGUCCGAGUUGUAAUUUGAAGAAGGUAUCUUUGGGCCCGGCUCUUGUCUAUGUUCCUUGGAACAGGACGUCACAGAGGGUGAGAAUCCCGUGCGAUGAGAUGACCCGGGUCUGUGUAAAGUUCCUUCGACGAGUCGAGUUGUUUGGGAAUGCAGCUCUAAGUGGGUGGUAAAUUCCAUCUAAAGCUAAAUAUUGGCGAGAGACCGAUAGCGAACAAGUACAGUGAUGGAAAGAUGAAAAGAACUUUGAAAAGAGAGUGAAAAAGUACGUGAAAUUGUUGAAAGGGAAGGGCUUGAGAUCAGACUUGGUAUUUUGCAUGUUGCUCUCUCGGGGGCGGCCGCUGCGGUUUACCGGGCCAGCAUCGGUUUGGAGCGGCAGGAUAAUGGCGGAGGAAUGUGGCACGGCUUCUGCUGUGUGUUAUAGCCUCUGACGAUACUGCCAGCCUAGACCGAGGACUGCGGUUUUUACCUAGGAUGUUGGCAUAAUGAUCUUAAGUCGC
Molecule: ribosomal RNA, 546 nt
Filed under: Candida albicans
Lineage: Eukaryota; Fungi; Ascomycota; Pichiomycetes; Serinales; Debaryomycetaceae
Description: eukaryotic LSU rRNA
Rfam family: Eukaryotic large subunit ribosomal RNA
Source: RNAcentral